CCGGGGGCCACCCCCCAGGAAAGCCUGUCACUCGGCAUCGGGUUUUCAGUGGCUGGCGCUGUUUUCCGACUUGGGGUUUCAGAUACGGCUGCUGACACCGGAAGGCUUUCGGACUUGGGGCAUGUUACGGCAGACCGAUAAGGCAAGUGAAUUUGCCUGCCUUUUCUGUCUUAAGAGGACUCGUUAGGAAGGGAACAGGAUUUUGUCUCUGGGGAAACAAAAGCCAACACAGGGAGAGCCGUAGAAUGCCCUGGACUUCACCUGGGGCACUUCUUAUAAUGUGGGCGGUCCUCAGCCUGACACAGCCCCUAUGGAACAGACCCCAAGGGCUGCGGCUCCACAGAGCCUUCCAGCGCUCUCGGUGGACGUGGGGUCUCGAGGGCGGGUGACCUGAACACAGGCCCGUCCGUCAGCUGCCAUCACAUUAACGCUGCAUAAGAGCAUAUGCUGGAGUAGAGUCAGGUCCAGGGACAGACUCCUCCCUGGAGGUGACCCACACGGCUGGGGCAGAGCUCUGGCUCCUGGCUCGGCCCAGCUCCCGGGUCCCCCUCACUGGGAGAUGGACUCUGCACUGGCAGGAAGAACCUUCCAGCAGGUGCCUGCUUUGGGGGCGUUCCUCACCCAGUUCUGGUUCCAUCUCUGAACAAUUGAUGAGGUGAGUCACUUAUUUGCGUGACGGAUUUGGGGAUUUGACCGCACCCAGACUCUCAUUCCACCAGAAAUGCCUGUGCCCCGGCAGGCCACGCCUCCUGGAGCCUUUCCCGCGCAAACACGGGUCGGCCCCGGCCCCGGGGGCUGGCGAGGGCGGUGCAUCUCCGGCUGCUUCUGCGGGUUGGUGGAAGUGAAUGCCCCUUGACGUUGUCCCUUUCCCCCCUCAGGCCAGCUGCCGAGGCCUGCUCACACCUGCAGCCUCGGCAGACCUACCCCGUGUAGCAGCUGGACUGUGGUCUCUGCCCGCGCAUGCCUGCCAGCCCGCCAGGGCCACCGGCCCCCCGGGUCCCUCCCCUGAGCCCACCCAGCACCGCUCUGGCAGCUGGGAGCCUCUCCUCGCAGACGCACGACAGCCUGUCUGGGUCUUAGUGCCUUUAGCUUGCUGGUCGUGGCCUCGCCCCAAACCUACCAUCUCCGCAGUGGUGACGGGACCUGCCCGACCUCUGUGGCCCACGCUCAAACCAGGCAUUGGAGGAGCUGGGUAACCUGUGUGUGUGUGUGUGUGCGCGCGCGCGUGCAUAUACGUGCAGUCACAUAUAUGUGCUUGUGUUUCUCUCUUAUUGAUCCCCAAAUGUACAUUACUGUAUCUGACCUAAUUUUGAUCAUUUUUUUGCAGACCAUUGUUUCCAGCAGUCAAUUAUAAUUUGCACGGGUGUGACAUUUCCCGAACCUGGUGUUCCCUGGCUGGUCAGUUUGGGAAACGGGCCAACCUUUGAGGAGUCAAAUUAUGAUUUUGACAGGCUACCUGUCAUUCCUGACCCCCACACUCCCCCAAACAGGGGAGCAUUUUAUCUGGAGGAUUCUUUUCUUUUUUUUUAUUAAAAAAUUUUUUUAAAUGUUUAUUUAUUUUUGAGAGAGAGUGAGAGAGACAUAGUGUGAGCGGGGGGGAGGGGCAGAGAGAGACAGAGACCCAGAAUCCGAGCUGUCAGCACAGAGCCUGAUGUGGGGCUUGAACCCAUGAACUGAGAGAUCAUGCCCUGAGCCGAAGCUGGAUGCUUAACGGACGGAGCCACCCAGGCGCCCCUGGAGAAUCCUUUUCUUUUUAAAUGUUUAUUUAUUUAUUUUGAGGGAGAGAGAACACGUGUCCAUGCAGGUGCAUGUGUGCAUAAGCUAGAGGGGGAGGGGCAGAGAGGAAGAGAGAAUCACUCCCAAGCAGGCUCCACACCCAGCACAGGGCCCGACACAGGACUCCAUCCCACGAACCGGGAGAUCGUGACCCGAGCCGAAAUCAAGAGUCGGACACUCAGCCGGCUGAGGCACCCAGGUGCCCCUGGAGCAUUCUGAAACUCUUCUUGAGGUUUCUAUCAACACUGUUGGGGUGGGGGGGUCCCAGAAACCAGGCUGGAAGGCCUGGGGCUGUGUGAGCGACGCAGGAGUGAAACACAGAGCAGCCCGUCUGGGGCACUCCUGCACAUGCCUUUGGCUCCUGCUUCUGUGUGUUGGGAUCAGAUGCACGGGGCAGGCCCGGCUCAUGGUUUGCAAUCGUUAGUCCUUCCCCUGGCUCACCAGGAGUGAGCCCCAGCACUCACAGUCAGUGUCUCGCGGGCAGUCUGUUUGGAACAGCGUUGCAGAGAUGUGUCAGUUAUUCGCGUCAUGGGCAAAAUCGUUAUUGAACAGACGGCAGCAACCUGACCUUCAGUUGGAAAAGCUGACUCAAUACCCACCGCUUCAGUGUCUCCCUCUGUAAAUGGGGAUUCGGAGAUUUCCCACCCCAAAGGGCAUGUGAGGAUCGCACAGACUGACGUGUGCAAAGCUUUGACACGAUAGAGCCAAGAGGGGUCCGUAGGCUGAGUUGUGCCUCCUCCAAAUCAUACGGUGAAGCCCUGACCUCCAGCCUCUGAAUGUGGCAGUAUGGCCUUUACAGAGGUGAUAAAGGUACAACGAGGUCAUCGGUUGAAGGUACAGUCCGACCUGGUUGGUGUUCUUACAAGAAUUCGGGACAGACAUACACAGAGAGAGACCAUGUGAAGACACGGGUAAAGCCAACAUCCACCCACCCGAGAGAGAGGUCUCAGGAGGAAGCAGCCCUGCUCACGCCAGGAUCUCGGACCUCCAGCCUCUAGCACUGGGAGGCAACGAGUUUCUCUCAUUUAAGACACCCGGCCUGCGCGGCUCUGUUCUGGCAGCCUCAGGGCACUGAUACUCAGGUGCUCAGAAAGAAUGUGUUGCUACCAGUGGGUUUUCUCAGGGGGCUUUCUGGCGUUUUAAAGUGUGGCACUCCAUUUCUUAAGGGCACCUGAGAUGCUUAGAACUUUUCCUAUGUGUUUUUAAAAAUGUAUUUUAGGAAAGUAAGUAUUAGCACAUUUUGCCGCUAUUGAGAAAUACAACGGUAUCUGUUUUAAAAAUACACGUGUGGUUCUGUUCCAUGGAGCCCCGGAUAUCACCGGUCCACACCAUCACCCCAUAGCUGCGGGGUCAGCAGACUCCUGAAACCGUCUCGAGGCCCGCCGUGUGCCUGGUACCGGGGCUAUGCCAGGGACUGCCACCGUCUCCGACCUCAUGGGACCCAGGUCCCAGCAAGGGAGACCGCCAGCCAGCACACAGAGUCAGACUCCAGCAGCCGUCAUGACUCUCCACUCACAUCCGUUGUCAUUGUCGCGCUGUGGAGCUCCUGCCGAGGUCCCCAGUGACAAGUGCCAGGGUCAACGGCUGUGACUUCCGCUGGGAUCCCAGAGCUGGCGGGGAAGGAAGGCAGCCCAUCGCAAACACGGGUACGCAAGCGAUGUCUCCCCGACUCCUUUAAGUGCAGGGAAUGCUGAGGCCCAGCUUUGGUGGCGCCCCCGGUAGGAGUGGGGGGCGGGGAGAGGGGGAGGGGCAGGCGAGCCUCCCGCCGUGUCUAUAAGGUGGCUGCCUCCUCCGGCUGCCCACCUGGCCCACUACACAGCGCAUGCAGACCCGUGCCUGAGAGUCACUCCUGGCCCCGUGGACGCCCCAGGGCACCUGGUCUGGGUGAGAGAGAAGUGCCAGGGUGGGCUGGUGUCUCACGGAGAGGAGGGAGGGUCACCGGGGUGGGAAGGGGCAGAGAAGGCCCCCCUGGGCAGUGACCCUUAAAAGGAUCUCGGGUGAAUUCUCACGGCUGACCAGCAGGAAGAGGGAGAACUCGUCCUUUAGGACAGAGCUGUCCCAGCCCCAGGCGACGGGGGCCUGGGGUCCAGCCCCAGGGUGGUGCGGGCUCGCUCAGGUCUCCAUGUGUGAGCGGAUGAGUGCUCCAAGCUCUGUACCUGUCAGGGGGUUUGGGAUUGUCUAUCGGGGAGGGAAGAACAGGGGUUCCAGUCCUUCCCGGGGCUGCCUCCCAGAGCCAUAAAUUACGUCCAUUAUGUGCUGGACGUAAAUUACGGUUUAUUAGUUUCCUAGAGUGUCUGUGACAAAGUCCCGCAGACUGUGAGGCUUAAAGCACGGGAGUUUAUUCUCUCGCGGUUCUGGGGGCCAGAAGCUCUAAAUCAAGAUGUCAGCAGGGUGUGCUUCCUCUGAAAGAUCUGGGGGACAAUGUGUUCCUUGGCUCUCUCCCGGCUUCUGGUGUUGCUGGCCAUCCUUGGAGUUCCUGGGUUUGAGGACGGGUCCCUCUGACCUCAGCCUCUGCCACCCGUGGCUGAUUGUCCCCGUGUCUCUGCAUGUCCUCUCCUCUUCUUAUAGGGACACCAAGCAUUGGAUUUAGGGCCCACCCUAUUCCGGUCUGACCUCAUCUUAACUAAUUAUAUCUGCAGUGACCCUAUUGCCAAAUAAGUCACAGUCGCAGGUCCCAGGGGUGAGGACGUGGCCGUGUCUUCCCGUGGGGAACGCACGAUUUAAUCCACAAUGGAUAGUAAGGUGUCUCCCUCCCUUUAGGAACCACGGGGUGUGCGCUGCGGGAUGUGGCCCGUGGUUCAGUCCCCACUGACGGUCGCCCAGGUGUGGCCUGUGCUGGCUGUAUUUCACCCGCAUUCCAGGGGACUGUCACACCCCGGGAGUCACCAGGGCUGCCCGUGUCGGUGGCUUUCUGAGGACGAGCUGAAGCUGUUGCCAUUAAGUGGGGGCUCCGGAAACGUC
Acinonyx jubatus (cheetah) is the source of this 4737-nucleotide long non-coding RNA. RefSeq lists it as uncharacterized. Lineage: Eukaryota; Metazoa; Chordata; Mammalia; Carnivora; Felidae. The transcript has 4 exons. The record is from RefSeq and is a predicted model, not a curated record.